GGGGAUGACCGGUUUUGACAGCAGGUAGAGUCUGAUUGUAAGCACGUCGAGCGUUGUGUGGUGGCUCGUAAAUCUCAACACUCGAAAAUCAAAUGGCAAUAAUAGCUACGCACUCGCUGCCUAAUUUUACCAGGUAAAAUGGCUUAAUUCCUGAGCCCAAGGAGGUUCGGGAACGAGUACCUCUCCGUCGGCUCCCGCCUUUCGAGCUUUCGGUAACGAGGUAUCAUCUUUGAAAGGAUAGUCUUGCGGCCGCCCCGUCCGCAAGGCGAAACUCAAGGGGCUGGGUUCUCCGUUAGGCUGCCGCCUGCCGGGCGGAGAAAGAAGGACCAAACGGUCGGCUAAACGUGUAGAAAGCUUUUGGGUUCCUUGUUUGGACGAGGGUUCGACUCCCUCCAUCUCCACAU
Molecule: transfer-messenger RNA, 404 nt
Filed under: Rikenellaceae
Lineage: Bacteria; Pseudomonadati; Bacteroidota; Bacteroidia; Bacteroidales
Also listed under: 1 other name
Description: RGIG9113 sp017935625 Standard tmRNA
Rfam family: transfer-messenger RNA
About the family: Bacterial tmRNA, also known as 10Sa RNA or SsrA, is named for its dual tRNA and mRNA-like properties. Its role is to liberate the mRNA from a stalled ribosome.
Source: RNAcentral